RNAcentral lists this ribosomal RNA (881 nucleotides) under uncultured bacterium. RNAcentral's name for it is "bacterial SSU rRNA". It matches the Rfam family "Bacterial small subunit ribosomal RNA", at positions 449 to 1325 of the family's 1533-position model. The record is from RNAcentral.
AAGGUUAGUAGAGGAAAUGCUAUUAAUUUGACGGUACCGACAGAAUAAGCACCGGCAAACUCUGUGCCAGCAGCCGCGGUAAUACAGAGGGUGCGAGCGUUAAUCGGAUUUACUGGGCGUAAAGGGCGCGUAGGCGGUGAGAUGUGUGUGAUGUGAAAGCCCCGGGCUUAACCUGGGAAGUGCAUCGCAAACUGUCUGACUGGAGUAUAUGAGAGGGUGGCGGAAUUUCCGGUGUAGCGGUGAAAUGCGUAGAUAUCGGAAGGAACGUCGAUGGCGAAGGCAGCCACCUGGCAUAAUACUGACGCUGAGGCGCGAAAGCGUGGGGAUCGAACAGGAUUAGAUACCCUGGUAGUCCACGCUGUAAACUAUGAGUACUAGAUGUUGGUAGGGGAACCUAUCGGUAUCGAAGCUAACGCGAUAAGUAUUCCGCCUGGGAAGUACGGCCGCAAGGUUGAAACUCAAAUGAAUUGACGGGGGCCCGCACAAGCGGUGGAGCAUGUGGUUUAAUUCGAUGCAACGCGAAGAACCUUACCUACCCUUGACAUCCUAGGAAUCUGGCUUAGUAGCUGGAGUGCCGAAAGGAACCUAGAGACAGGUGCUGCAUGGCUGUCGUCAGCUCGUGUUGUGAGAUGUUGGGUUAAGUCCCGUAACGAGCGCAACCCUUGCCCUUAGUUGCCGUCAUUUAGUUGGGGACUCUAAGGGGACCGCCAGUGAUGAACUGGAGGAAGGCGGGGACGACGUCAAGUCAUCAUGGCCUUUAUGGGUAGGGCCACACACGUGCUACAAUGGGGCGUACAGAGAGUCGCGAACCCGCGAGGGGGAGCUAAUCUCAUAAAGCGUCUCGUAGUCCGGAUUGGAGUCUGCAACUCGACUCCAUGAAG